RNAcentral lists this non-coding RNA (80 nucleotides) under uncultured Clostridium sp. RNAcentral describes it as "Cyclic di-GMP-I riboswitch". It matches the Rfam family "c-di-GMP-I riboswitch aptamer". From Rfam's summary of the family: GEMM was predicted in a large-scale screen for bacterial structured RNA regulatory elements. Genes associated with GEMM are involved in a diverse array of functions, including chemotaxis regulation, signal transduction, secretion and chitin. The record is from RNAcentral. Lineage: Bacteria; Bacillati; Bacillota; Clostridia; Eubacteriales; Clostridiaceae.
UUGAAUAUGGCAAAGCUAGAGAAAUCUAGUGACGCAAAGCUAUAGGGGCUAAGAUGAAUAUUAUGCCAGCCAGCUGCCGG